UACGGAGGAUGCGAGCGUUAUCCGGAUUUAUUGGGUUUAAAGGGUGCGUAGGCGGCAUUAUAAGUUAGUGGUAAAAUAUUGGGGCUUCACCUCACUACGCCAUUAAUACUGUAGAGCUAGAGAACAGACGAGGUAGGCGGAAUAAGUUAAGUAGCGGUGAAAUGCAUAGAUAUAACUUAGAACACCGAUAGCGAAGGCAGCCUGCUGGACUGUAACUGACGCUGAUGCUCGAAAGUGUGGGUAUCAAACAGG
Molecule: ribosomal RNA, 252 nt
Filed under: uncultured Odoribacter sp.
Lineage: Bacteria; Pseudomonadati; Bacteroidota; Bacteroidia; Bacteroidales; Odoribacteraceae
Description: partial 16S ribosomal RNA
Rfam family: Bacterial small subunit ribosomal RNA
Source: RNAcentral